UCCAUCCCCACUUCCCCAUUUCUUUAAACCUUAUCAUCACUCUCUCUUCAUUUUCUCCAUUAGGCCGCCCGUCCUUCACCUUGCUCCUCAUCAGCUCCAUGGAGCUUGUGCUAGCUGGCUACAAAGCAACCAACAAGCAAGAUCCAGUACUCCUACCGUCGAUCCUAUCUAGGGUUUUUCUCUAGCUGCUUUCCCGGCCGGCCCAGUCGUCGAUCUCCUCCUCCUCCUGCUUCUGCUUCUGCUUCUUCUAACCAACCGGCCAAGCAAGCAAGGCCUCCCCGGCCUUAUAUAUACCUAGCUAUCUUGCUUGCCUAGAUCGAUCCAUGUAGCCACCCAGUCAUCAGGCCUCAUCAGCUCAGCUCCCUUGUUGAGCUACCCUGGCCACACCACCAUCCAAGUGCCAAGAGACAACCUUUAUCUUAUUGUUAGCUUCUUCGCCUGCUACUUUCUCUAGAUAUACGCGUGCGUGUGUAGAUCAAUCCUCCCAUGCAUCAUCCAUCCCUUUCUUGCCCGGCGGCGGCGGCUGCGGCUGCGGUGUAGUAGUACAGGUGUGGCGCGUGGAAAUUAAAGAUAAACAGAUCGUGCUGUCCUGUUCUUGAUUCUUCGAUUCUCUACCUCCUCCUCUCCCUUUUAAUUUGGUCUUUUGAUAUAUAUAUGUAUGUAUAUAGCUACAUAGCCAUCUUUAUUUCGAGCUUAGCUUGCAUCUUUCCUCUCCGGCCUCCUCCUAUCUUGUGUCCAAUUAAUUUGAUGCAUAUGGUUCUCUUGAGGUGCCUUUAUAUGCAUUAAUUCCUCUUCUUGAUUCAAAUUAAAGCUCCUUAUUAUGCGCGCAUAUCGAUCCAAACAAACAUAUAGAUGCUGGAUCUUUCCUCUUGAUCGAUGGGAUUGGGAUAUCAGUCAGAUGCAUGUGCUGCAUGUAUAGAUCUCCAUCUGCGGUAUGCUAAUACCUUAUUAGCUUCCUGCCGGAUCGAUCACCUUGCAAGCUGCUGCGGAUCAUGGAGCAAACAGUCGGUGCUUGCAGGUGCAGCACCAUCAAGAUUCACAUCCACCUCAUCCUCAGUUGAUGCUACACAGCAUGCACACCUGAUGAGAUGAGAAUCUUGAUGAUGCUGCAUCAGCAGGCACUCACUCAUCACCUUGAAGAGUGAGAGGAUCUCUCUGGUGCAAUUGAGAACUAGUAGUCAUUAAUUCUUUCCUUCAACUGCGACCUUGCUUAAUUAAUUUGUUUUCACUUGAGUUGAGUUUUAUUCGCCUUUGUUUUUGCACAUUAUUUAUAUCUUACUGCUGCUCUCCGUCGCCGAGGCGGAGUAGUAGAGUAGAUUGUCUGAGGUUGGACCCAAAAAGAAGCUAAGUGCCUUGUGAUUUCAGUUGGCAUCAAGCCUUCAUUCUCAAGCUAGGCUGCAGUGCGAGGUGAGUCUCACUUGGUCUUGUGUUGUUUAUUUCCGGUUGGGAGAAGCAUAUAUACUUCAUGAUUAAGCCCGGGGAGCCAUGAUUUUAUGGUGUAUUAUGAGUUUAAUGCAUGGCAGGUUCCGUUCGAUUUAUGUGGCAGAAAGAAGAAGCUCAUCACUUCCCUUGGCAACAUCUGCACACUUGCUAUAAUUUUCCCUGGAAGAAGUGGUUGGAAGAUCAUUAAGCUUAUGCUGCAUACCUUACAGGUUCGAGUAAUAACAUUCAUUCGGUUUGCUGCCUCUUCCUAGCUAGUGUUUUCUCCCAUUUUUUUUAUCUAAAUCCUCCCUCAAGAUGAAUCCAGUUUGGGCGCAUCCUAACUUUGAUUGAUCCUAGCUAAGUACUAGCUAGAGAGGGACGACAAACACGGUCACCGAACAUGAAUCACUAAUCAUUCUCUGUCAUCCAUAUACUUUAUUUGUUCUUGUCCCAAUGCUGCAAAACCCAAUGUGCCAACACUGCACUGGCGUCGGCAUCAUCGAUCGUCUGAUUGACGUAGUACAGAUAUGCUGAUCUACAAAAUAUUCCCAAUCAUCAUACAACUACUGAAUAUAUUCUGCAGUUGUAUGAUCUGUACUCUGCCGCUACCUCAGACAUUGUAUCCAUUAUUUCCUAUAUAAAGAAGGGUGCCAUUUCUCCCUCAUCUUCGUCAGCACCUACUUUUCCUUUCUUAAUUUCUGUAUGCAGUCGAUCAUCGGAGACUUAAUUAAUUAUUGUUUUUUCCCCGAUAAUAUCUAGGUAGGUAGGUUUCUUGAAGAUUAUAUUAUAUUGUUUGUGAUGAUAAUAGGAUAUGAUGGACCAUAUCUCUUCCGUCCGAUGAGGAAGAACAGAUCGACCGGCAAGCGAAUGAAGCGAAGCGAAGCAAGCAGGGGCAUAUGAUCGAUGCACCAGCCACAGAACUGACAGAAGCAUCAAGAGCAUGAGCUGAUGAUGAGCAGUGGCAGUUGAUGAUGAUAGAUGGAGAGGAAUCAGCAGUGCCCGGGUAGAUGGUUCAACUUGUUGGAGUGGACCAUGUAGAUGGAUCGAUCUCGACGAUGCAGACAGAGGCAGCAGGGGGCCGGCCGGGGGUACGUACGUAGUACAUUGCUAUUAUUGUGCCAAAGGAAGGGGACCAAUACACACGCACACACACACACAUAAUGCACACCCUGAUGAGCUGCUGCUAGCUGAUCAGGCCAGGGACAAGCCUUGCAGACUCUGGUGGUGCUGCUGGUACAACCGUACUAUUCCUACUGUGCCCCCAGCAACAAGUGAAAGGUGAAAAUUUUCAGCUCGCUUUACCUAUUGUUACUUUUGCCUUUCUGCAGGCUGCAAACUGCAGGUCUGUGUUGUGUUCUCUCUUUACAUAUAGUGGAUGGGAUACAUAGAUCUUUAUUACUUCCACUUCACACCCUGGUUGCAUAUAUCAUAUCUAUAAAGCCUGCAAAUUGGAUUGCCACAGUGUCUGAUGAUGGGCCAGCUACUUACUUGAUCAUGUAUAAUAUAUGCUUGCUCAUCAUCAGGCAAAUUAAACAAUAAAUAUUUGAGUGAACCGUGUAACUGAAUCUUUCAAGUUGGCAGCUGCAUGCUGGUGUGAGUUAAUUUUGCAUGUGCUGAUGACUGUCUAGUCUUGACUUUUCUUUAUCAAUACAACAAGCAGCUAGCACCCAGCCUGGCCUUCUGCAUGCUAUUUUACGUUCCAAACUUGCAAUAGUACUAUUACUAUGCUUGAGAGAACUCUAAUAAGUAUCCCAGUACGAACUGGACAGUCUAGUGCUGCGUCUGCAUAAUAAACGACUGUGGAAGGAGUUGGGUUCUAGUGCGACAGUUGAAUUGUUUCAGUGCCGGCCAGUACCAUGUAAUUAACGACAGUUGAAUUGUUUCAGUGACUGCAAGUCUGCAACUGAUUAAGCGUGGCAAGAAUAAAGCGGGCUCGAUCGAUCAUUUGCCGGCCAUGAUCUACACGUUUUAUUUAGUACUGUCCCCUCAUAAUUUGGUAUUAAUUCCGUCCGUGUUUCAAAACGUAAAUCGUUCUAAUUUUAUCCCAAGUCAAACUUGUCAAGCUUUGAAGGUACAUCUACGUGCAUGCAUUUUGGAACGGAGGGAAUAAUACCCAAGUAGCCUAGCUCUCUUUCAUCACCAGAUUGCAUUUUUUUUCAAAAAAAAUGAACUGGCAGGAGAGAUCAUCAGCUUGCAUUGGACGUAGUACUGAAUACUGAUUGUAGCUGUUUCCGACGUUGUGUCUGAUAUAUGAAAGGUUUGUUUCUUCAGGUUACAUGACCACGUGCACGUACAUGGGUGCAAAUGCGAUUCUUCGCUCAUCAUCAUCUUCAGUAGUUUCACUUGCACAUGAACGAACAUAUAUAAAAACAUGCCUAACUGUCACUCAUCAUCACUUGGUUUUUACAUACUGAUGAAAAGUUAGGUACUAUACGAGAUGGAAGAAGAGUGGACCGAUCACCGAUCACGAGCAGGCAGCUAGCACGGACGAGAUAUGAUCGGCGGUACGGUGGACCAUGCAGUGCAUGCAUGCAUGCACAUAUUCUAGGCAGGCUACGUACGCACGUACGUCAAAGCAUGGUCCCGUACGUGCCGGCAAUCUUCACGAGGACGGGCGCGAAAUGUAAUAUAAGAUUACAAAUAUACGACAAUUAACUAGCCUGUUCUAAACGUCAUAUAAUAUUUGUAUACUAUCUAUGUAUCCCGUGGCUAGCUGCAAGUCUGCAACGACAACCGUGAGAUGGGCACCUCCUCGAUCGAUCGAUCUGCAGUAGCGCAUGGCAAUGGCGGCCAGCACACAGCAGCAGGGUGUCGUACGGAGGAUCGUGUCUCGUUGCCGCUUGUCACAUGCGUUCUUCCUUCCACUUGUUCCUGCUGGCUGGCUAUCAGUGAAAUGCAGAUUAGUGGUAAAAUGGCCUAAAUGAGUGAUUGGAGAAUAAGAACAUGAAGUACCAUCCAUUACUAUUGCAGCCCUGGCAAACCUGCCUGGCGCAGCCAUUGCAGGCGUCCGGUAAACAGAGUUGGAGCUGUUGCCUGUUAUUAAUGCAGGGUGUGCUUGAGGGGAGCAGAAGGUCAGGUUGGAGCUGUUGCUUGUUGUUUAUGCAGGGUGUGCUUCAAGUGAGCAGAAGAACUCCAUCAUGUUCCAGUCCAGAUCCAAAUCCAUGUUGAUGACAGAUUUUGAGCAGAGAAGCAUGCAGCACACAGGUCUUCUGAUAGAUGCAGGUGAACUGAGCGUGUUUGUGUUCUAGGAUUAGGAUGCCAUGCUCUGCUCAUUCUAAGUACACACCAUCAAGCAGGUAACCUCUAUUUUGCUACUUAACUAGACUUUGAAUGUUAAUUAUGACGAGGAUUAAUUUGUGGGGUUAGUUUCUGUUUGUUACCCAGCUGUUAAGCUUGAGAUCAAUGCAUGAGAAUUAUUUAGACAAACUAUGCUCGAUUCAUAGGAUAUCAUAAAAAGUAUACUCCAGAUUAUAUAUAUCAAAAAAGAAUAGGUUAUGUUGAGCUUGGCUGUCAGAAGAUGCAUCUGCUGAAACCUACAUUGCUCUUAUCCUUCCAUUUACUGUCGUGCUCAGGAUGCUUUAGUGAAAAAUUGGUGUAGUGGCAAUACUACUUCCUGUGCUUGAAGAAAAAAAUUUCUUUGUUUUAGUGCUGGGCGAAAGAAACAUUUUCUGGGAUACCAUCUUGUGAAAACCAUUUUAGGGUUCAUUGCAAUGUCAUGUGGAAAGCUUUUUUAUUUCUUUGUAUGAAUAAUUCAAAUCAUCAGGCAAUGAGGAAUGCUGUUGUACGGCUCUCGACUGCCACUGCAGCUGUCCAUCGACGAGUCAUCGACCUGAGAUGAGCAAUCAUUCCCAGCUCGAAUGCAAAAUUCCUCUUCAUUCUCAUUGUUGCAAUGCAAGCUGCCGGGUCCAAUGCAAACAAUCAUGCGCAGUAGCGUACCUCUCUAGUCAUUUUCUACACAGUUAUGAAAUUCACUAACGAGCAAUCUAAUUUUUCUGCUCAUCUUCUACGACUAGUCCAUAAAGUAAGAUAAGCAAUCAAAAGGUUCUGAAUCACUAUAGGGCGGUGGCAGCGCAGGGCUGCCAUGUACCUACUCGUGCUGCCAGAGCCAGACUGCCCUAGCUGGACUGUCGACGAUGAGGCCCGUCUAGCGUGCGCGCACAAGUCGACACGUCACACGAUAUCUAUGCACUCGGUACUCCUCUCACUCAAGCAGCCGUGUCUUGUCAGAAGUUGCAGGUGCUCGCGAUUCAUAAGCACAUGCACAUUGAAAUGUCCUUGCUCUCACGGUCAUCAAAUGUCCUCGUUUCAAAUGCGAAAGUUGAACGAGCAGCCUGAUUGGAAUUAGACCAAAUUCUCACAAACACAACUGCAUACACAACACUCAACGGCAGGCAAACACUGCGACCCGUCGGCCGGCAAAAGCGUAAGAACAUCGGAGGCCCAUAAGCGGCCUGUCCACAACCCAGCCCAUUGGUGCACGGGCACAAGCUGAAAGGAGGAGCCCAUAGGGGCCCAUCAAUCUUUAAAGGCCUGUAAAUAUUAUUUUUUUUGAAUGCAAAGGCCUCAACAAAAACUCAUCCCCUUGUGCUCGGUAGGCUUAGCUACUGCAAAUUGUGAAUCCAAGAAGGUGGAAUCUGAAGGACAGCCAGUUUACUCAGCUCCUCCGUCUCAUGCUGGGCAGUUCGUCUCUCAAGAACACAAUAGGCUGAUUUUACAGGGCACUCAAGAAACACACACACAGAUUCGCGAGGUCAGUAGCUCAGCAGAACAGUAGAGCUAGCUGCAAAACACAGAGGGCAAUUGGUGAAGCGUGUCUACCCCGUAGGGGGUCACGGCUACGUGUUUAUAUAGGCGCUACAAUGCGCAAGGAUUACAGGAUCGUAAAGACUCGAGUGCCGGUCAAGAGAUCUUGUUUACAGAUAUCUACAACUAAAUCUUAGAGAGAACAAACAAUCAAUCAAGAUUCCUGGCCGAGCACAUGUCUCAAGUCGUUACUGAACAAUACAAACAUUAACACGUAGCCUAUCAUAUAUUCUAACAGCCUCCCUAAAUCACAACUUUGUUAAGUUGAGAUUGACCUUGAAAUUCUCUAGUAGCCUAACAGAUAGUGCUUUAGUAAACCUAUCCGCAACUUGAUUUUCGGAAGGAACAAAAUCAAUUGUCAAUAGCUUCUAUGCAACUCUAUCUCUCACAAAAUGAUAGUCCACCUCGAUAUUCUUAGUCCUAGCAUGGAAGACAUGAUUAGAUGACAAAUAUUUGUCACCCAUAUUGUCACGCCAAAGUUUAGCAGCACAUGGACUUUCUAUUCCCAACUCAUGUAAGAGUUUUUGUAUCCAUAUAAUUUCUGCAAUAGCAUUAGCAAGAGCUUUGUAUUCAAAUUCUGUACUUGAUCUUGACACAGUAGGUUGCUUCCUUGAGCUCCAUGACACAAGAUUUGAUCCCAGAAAAACAGCAAAGCUACCGGUAGAUUUUUUGUCAUCCACACUACCGGCCCAAUCUGCAUCUUAAAACGCACUCACUAGGAAAGAAGUUGACUUGUGUAUCUUGAGGCCUAGACUUGUGCACUGUUUGAUAUAUCUUAAUAUGUGUUUUACUGCAGCCCAAUGUACUGUUGUUGGUGGGUGCAGAAACUGGCAAACUUUGUUAACUGAGAAAGAAAUAUCCGGCCUAGUCAAGGUCAAGUAUUGCAAAGCCUCAACUAUGCUUCCGUAUUGAGUUGCAUCAUUACUUCCAAGUAAAGUACCUUCAUGCAGAGACAACUUCUCACUCGUACAUAACGGUGUGCUUAUCGGUUUACAAUCUGACAUCCCUACUCUCUUUAAUAGAUCUGAGGCAUACUUGUGUUGCCUCAGAAUAAUACCACCUUGUACUUUAUUAACCUCUAUUCCCAAGAAGUAAUGAAGCUAACCAAGUUCCUUGAGAGCAAGUUCUUCAUUUAGCUUCCUUAUUAGUCCCAUUGUCACCUUCUCUGAAGAGCUAGCCACAAUAAUAUCAUCUACAUAUACUAAGAUAAAAACAGUAAUGCCUCCCUUAUUGAAGAAGAAUAAUGAUGUAUCAGCUUUAGAUGACUUAAAUCCAAGACUAACCAAUUUACUGCUCAACCUUGAGUACCACACUCGAGGAGCUUGUUUGAGCCCAUAAAUAGCUUUAUCUAGCCUGCAUACAUAAUUGGGCCAAGACAUAUCCUCAAAACCUAGAGGUUGCUGCAUAAACACUUUUUCUUCAAGUACUCCAUGUAGAAAAGCAUUCUAUACAUCAAGUUGUCGUAGACUCCAGCCACGAGAGACAACAAUAGACAAAAUGAUACGAAUAGUAGCUGCUUUGACUAUGGGACUCAAUGUAUCUUCAUAAUCUAAACCGUACCUUUGCUUGAACCCUUUUGCCACUAAUCUAGCCUUAUAUCUAUCCAGGCUUCCAUCUGAUUUUCUUUUGAUCUUGUACACCCAUUUGCACCCAAUAACAUUCCUUCCUUUUUGAGGAGGAACCAGGUACCAUGUCUGAUUUUUCAUUAGAGCACCAUACUCUGAAUCCAUUGCCUUUUUUCCAGUUGGUGUCCUGCAGGGCUUCAUCGAGAUGUUGUGGUUCACCAAAGGAGGUGAAGCACCCGUACUUGACAGUGCCAUCCAUAUAAACUUUUUCCUUUUGGAUCCUACUUUGAAGUCUGGUUCUAGGUCUGGUGUUGGUUGGAUCAGCAAAUCCACCAGGCGCAGAGGAUCCGGAGGACAAAAUCUACUCUGGAAUCUGUGAAGAAUCAAGCACAGGCACGGUCGGCACUGACGAGGGAGCUGUCGGGGCUGUUGUCGGUGACGCGGCGUCAUGGGAUUCACCCCCCGUGCGUUAGUGCACCCGAGCGUGGGAGCAAGGCGCGUGGUGCAAGGAGAUUCGCCGCGCAUGCUCAACGGACCGAGCGUUGUCCCGCCACCUGGUGCUGCUGCCUGCGGCAUGGAUCCCGAGCGUGAUACGCUACCAGGGAUCGUACCAGGAUCAACAUUGAUGUUCGUGUGUCCUGCAUCAUCUCCUGGAGAGCUCAUAUCAUAUGCAUUUGGCCCCUGAUUUUUACUGUUAUUUCCACCAAAAUCAUUAGUAACAUUAGGAGAUAAAUUAGUCACAUGAUCAUCUAUAUUAUUAACACCAGUCCUAGCACUUUCAAGAUUGCUAGAUGUCAAAGGUAUGAGAAGAGUUUAUGGUCUAAGCCUUGUGCCUGCAUUAGGAUUGAGUUUGGAGAAAGGAAAGACACUCUCAUCAAAAGUCACAUCUCUAGAAAUAUAGACUCUUCCAGUAGAUAUAUCUAAACACUUGAA
This is a long non-coding RNA of Setaria italica (foxtail millet), 8723 nucleotides long. RefSeq lists it as uncharacterized. Lineage: Eukaryota; Viridiplantae; Streptophyta; Magnoliopsida; Poales; Poaceae. The transcript has 5 exons. The record is from RefSeq and is a predicted model, not a curated record.